AAGCCCUUCACCUAUGGUUCUGCAUGUGAGUUGAUGGCUGCCGCUGAAUUGUUCGGUUGUCGCUUUCAAGUGUACCGAAAUGGUCAAAUAUUUUACACCUUUGGACUACCGCCAAUGCCUCUUAAACAUCUUAGAUUCACAGGUGACGAUUUGAGUAGUGGACACUUUGAUGUUUAUGAAUGUUUCAACUCUCAAAAACUGGAUGCGAAGUUAUCGAUGAAACUGGUUGUAUGCUUACAACGCUUGACAGAUGCCGAAUGUCACUUCAACACAAGUCCUGCAAAUAUUAACGUAAUUGAAACAAACCAUGAAACU
Long non-coding RNA from Erpetoichthys calabaricus (reedfish), 315 nucleotides. RefSeq lists it as uncharacterized. The record is from RefSeq and is a predicted model, not a curated record. The transcript is spliced from 2 exons. NCBI's taxonomy places the organism in Eukaryota, Metazoa, Chordata, Cladistia, Polypteriformes, Polypteridae.